UUUCCCAGUUAGAAUCCCCUCUUGCUAUGGUGCCGGUUAGAACACGAAAAACAUUCACAAUACUGGGUCCUGGUGGACAUCCAUCUCUUACUACACCCCAGCAUUUCCGAAUUUUUUCCCAGUAGACAUGACAUCCACUCUCCACAGACAAGGAACAAAUGGUUGAGAAAGGUAGAAUCCAAACUUUAUUGAACUUGCACUUUGAAAAUAUACAAAUACAUAUCUAUGCAUCUCAAAAGUAGUUGGCCAUAUAUGAAGUAGCAUAAUGAGUUAUCUGCGAUGACAUUUGUGGUAGUGGUGGGUGCUCGUGAAUUUUGUGGCCAUCCUGCAUAUAAAGCAUAACAUUUUUGGUCAUUUCAUUUUUGCUCCAUGCCCUUUUACUAUUUCUAUUGGAAAUGUUUUAAAUGAGCAUCUUUGAGCUCAAUACUAGUUAAGAAUUUUGAUUUAAGUGUUUUUUGGAAACCUUUGUCCCAUAUAAAAACUACUGGGAAAAUGUUUGGUUUUAUAAGGCUUAAGUAUGGGAUUUGGGGUUUGACCCUAAAGGGUACCUAAUUUUGUGGAAAGAGUGAAUAUUACCUAUUUUCGGUGUUGUGAGAUUGCUAAUAUUAUAUUGCUUAGUGUAAUGAAAUCGUAUUGUAAUUAACCUGCUUCCGGUACUGUAUUUCCCUUUUUUUCUAAUAUUGAACAUAUGGCUUUGUUGAUUUUGAUGUAGGAAAAGAAAUAACAGAAGUAUUGGAUGAUGAAGUAUUUGUAGAAUCCAAUGAUGAGAACUUGAUGUACAAUGUAAUUAGAUUAGAAGAUGAUAAUGUAGGAGGGGAUGCUACGAUUUGCCGGAGGUGAGUAAUCACAUUCCAACCACUGACGCCACGCUCUCAAAGUGCCGUAGAAAGUUGGAUGUACGGUGCCUCCCAGUCAUCAAUAGGACCGUUAUUCACGCCUACUAGUGAACAUCAAUACGUGGUUGUCUCAUGCAAUGCAAACACUUAGAGUUAUUUUUUUUCUCUGGUUUGGUUUAAGAUGUGACGAUUUUCAGAUUGUAAUGAAUGAUGUACAUCAAGCUAUUUUGUCAGCUUUGUUCAAAUUGGAUUCUUGAGUGAUGCAUUUGUAC
Molecule: long non-coding RNA, 1108 nt
Filed under: Olea europaea (common olive)
Lineage: Eukaryota; Viridiplantae; Streptophyta; Magnoliopsida; Lamiales; Oleaceae
Description: long non-coding RNA (OEUR_LNC013805)
Source: RNAcentral